ACGGUGUACAAAUGCUGUGGCAACACCUGGGACUCCCUGCCUCUUUUCUGGAUGUUUCUGAAUAACCCUCCCCUUAAUUUGCAUGUAAUUAAAAGUAGGUAUAAAUACUGCCAGCCAGGAGCCCCUAUGCUGCUAACUCUGGGUGCACUGCCUAUGGUUUAGCCCUGAUCCACAAGGACCAGUCACUGAGCUGUGCACUGCUGCUUCUACUAACUUGCUUUCUUCCACUGCUGGCUCACUCUUGAAUUCUUUCCUGAGCAAAGCCAGGAACCCACCCAUGCUAACCCCCGCUUUUGGGACUCGCCUGCCCUGCAUCAAGAACAUCAAUAAAAGAAGAAGAAUUCUGAAUGCCAAAAAAAUGCUACUGCUCACUUUUCCUCAAACUGUCUAUGGUGAAAGCAAGACCUUCACCAGAUGUAGGC
This 422-nucleotide long non-coding RNA is filed under the name Homo sapiens (human). Its description in RNAcentral is "HSALNT0097079". Lineage: Eukaryota; Metazoa; Chordata; Mammalia; Primates; Hominidae. The record is from RNAcentral.